GGAUGUGAUGGGGAUCUGGCUGUGACAGUUGUCCCCCAUUGAUUGCCAGGGUUGAUUGACUGAUCUGGCUGGCUGGGCGAGUGUCCCCUUGCAACCUCGCUACGCUAUAUGUGUCUUCUAAAGCUGCACACUUGGUGGAAAAAGAAGACCUUCCCUGAUAGAGGAGAACCGUUCUUUGGUCAAAGGUAUACAAGUAGUUUUGCUCCCCUGCUAGAACCUACAAACAAGCUCUCAAGAUAGCAGAUGGAACUCCUCUGAGCAUAUUCAACUUUCAUCAUAAAAAUUUAGCUGAAAAAAAGGAAAGGACACUUGGAAAGCUUUUCUUA
This 326-nucleotide small nuclear RNA is filed under the name Castor canadensis (American beaver). Its description in RNAcentral is "7SK RNA (ENSCCNG00000018399.1)". The stretch from base 1 to 286 matches the Rfam family "7SK RNA". From Rfam's summary of the family: 7SK was discovered as an abundant small nuclear RNA in the mid-70s but a possible function has only recently been suggested. Two independent studies have found that 7SK RNA binds the CDK9/cyclin T complex (known as elongation factor P-TEFb). The record is from RNAcentral. Lineage: Eukaryota; Metazoa; Chordata; Mammalia; Rodentia; Castoridae.